This 296-nucleotide small nuclear RNA is filed under the name Chinchilla lanigera (long-tailed chinchilla). RNAcentral describes it as "7SK RNA (ENSCLAG00000022099.1)". It matches the Rfam family "7SK RNA". From Rfam's summary of the family: 7SK was discovered as an abundant small nuclear RNA in the mid-70s but a possible function has only recently been suggested. Lineage: Eukaryota; Metazoa; Chordata; Mammalia; Rodentia; Chinchillidae. The record is from Rfam by way of RNAcentral.
GGAUGUGAGGGCGAUCUGGCCGCAACAUGUGUCACCCCAUUGAUCACCAGGGUUAAUUCAGCCAAUCUGGCUGGCUAGGCAGGUGUCCCUUCCUCCCUCAUGGCCACAUAGGCUUCCCUCCCGAAGCUUCGUGCUGGGUCAAAGAGGACGACCACUCCGAUAGAGGAGGAAUGUUCCUCAGCAAGGGUAUACGAGUAGCUGCGCUCCCUGCUAGAACCUCCAAACAAGCUCUCAAAACCCACUAAUUUAUCACAAAGUGCCAACACUGCAAUUAAACCUGAACACUAUUUUAGUUU